RNAcentral lists this long non-coding RNA (1286 nucleotides) under Fukomys damarensis (Damara mole-rat). RNAcentral describes it as "lncRNA (ENSFDAG00000031488.1)". The record is from RNAcentral. Lineage: Eukaryota; Metazoa; Chordata; Mammalia; Rodentia; Bathyergidae.
AAGAAAUCCAAGAAAGAUUUUCAGCUAGGCACAAUGACACAUGCCUAUAAUUCCAACUUCUUAAGAGGCUGAGGCAGGAGGAUUGUAAGUUUGAGGUCAGUUUGAGAAUUUAGUGAGACCCCAUCUCAAAAUAAAACACAAGGGUUGGGGGUGUAGAUCAGUGGUAGAGAAACCCUGGCUUCAAUCUCCACACACACGUGAGCGCAUGCACGCCUGUGAACACAACUUCAACACUGAGACCAUAAAUUGCCAAUUUAAAGGCAUUCGUGGAACAUGGAUAAAGCGAUGACCCUGACCACACGUGGAGUGGAGGGGGAAUCACACACGAUGACCAGUCGUGAGGUUGGACUGAGGCUUCACCACAGCUCUGGGAGGGACGGGACAGGGGAACAACACCAUCAAAUUUGUGAGGGAAAUGUCUUCCAUUCUGUGGUUCUGUUCCCAGCCACACUUGGACUCCUGUGAGGGGCAGACACAGGUAAGACAGGGCAGACACAGGUUUUCACACAGGUAAGAUUUUAAAACAUUCUGCUCUCAUACCCAUUGUCAGGACCCCAUUAAUGCAAGAAGUCUUCCAAAAUGAGGAAUAAACCAGCACAGAGAAAGACAAGGAAGAAAAGAAACUUGGGAGAUGGACAGAAAUCUCCAGAGUAAGGUUGAAGGGAAGCCCCCGGAGUGCUUGGAGCCAUCAAGUCCAGAUAAGAGCAGGCGGCUGAGGCUUGGGAGUGAGGGAGACCUCGGAAUGGAAGCAGACGGCCCCGUGACCCAGGUGAAAAUGCAAUCUCUCCAACGAAGACCGGGAGUAGACGGCCAAGUGGGUACCUCUGUGUUUUGGCUUCUUUGUACAGAACGCCCCACAGGAGGGAAAGAAUGUAAGGACUCAGCUGCCUUUGCCAGGCUCCUGUCGCUCCCGUGACACCUCGGUGAGAAAACCGCGGGUCAGGACCACGGGAAACCAUCCGGCCAGGGAGCAAGGGGUGGACUGCACCCCUCAGCCACUUCAGGGCCCAGGGCCGGGUCCAGACUCUGCCUUGUCCUCCGCGAGGAGCCCAGCAGAGGCUGGAGCUACCGGGAGACUGGCAGAUGCUGAACCAAUUUUAUAAAAAUGGAAAAGGAGGGAGAUUCCAAAACCAACAAACGCGAACCUUGGCAAAACCCUUUGAAACGAUUAUUAAGCAAUUUGUAAGCCCUGAGCAGAGGGAAUGGCCUCACUUCCUCUAACAAUGGGGUCACAAGACUGGAGGGUCCCUGAGGUGUCAGACUCUGGGGUUGUGGGGGACGCGGGG